Ictidomys tridecemlineatus (thirteen-lined ground squirrel) is the source of this 513-nucleotide non-coding RNA. Lineage: Eukaryota; Metazoa; Chordata; Mammalia; Rodentia; Sciuridae. The record is from RefSeq and is a predicted model, not a curated record.
GGUUGUUCCUAUUAAUCAGUUCAUCAAGUUUUACUGAGCACCUAUUACUAUCUGUGUACUACAAUUAUGUAAUUAAGCCAUGCUACCUUGAGCUUUUUAAAGAGCUAUGGGAGCCAUUUUAAAUCUUCCCAAUCAAUGGCAGGAUUAUAUUUGUCUUCAUCUCCACUCCACUGGUAGCUGGCUUGGCCAGGCCACUUACCUGGCCAACAGGAUGUGAAUGAAAUUGCUGGACACUACCUCUGGGCCAAAGCUUUAAGAGUCAUUCAUUGUGGCUCGGGCCACUCUAUUCUUUUUGCAACAAAAAAGGGGCCAAGGGGGAAUCCCAGGGAAGAGUUACUUUUUCAGCCUGGAUCCUAGAAUUUGAAAGAUGUGAAGCAGAGUUCCUGCCCACCUGCAGCCAACAUGUAAUAUGAAAUUAAUACACCUUGGAUUUUGGAUGACACUAAGAUUUUGUGCUUAUUGCUGUAGCAUAACCUAUUGAGAGCUGAACAAUACAGACAUUCUGUCCAUCAA